Long non-coding RNA from Biomphalaria glabrata, 2815 nucleotides. RefSeq lists it as uncharacterized. Lineage: Eukaryota; Metazoa; Mollusca; Gastropoda; Planorbidae. The transcript is spliced from 3 exons. The record is from RefSeq and is a predicted model, not a curated record.
CGAGUCUCUAGAGUCUAGAUUCAUCAUCUUUGUGUGUCUGAUAAACCCAGAGAAUGAAGAUAUAGAAUCUAUAUAGGCCCCCUAUUAUAUAGAAUCUAGCUCUAGUUGACUCUAGACUAGAUCUAGGAUAAUUUCAGGUCUAGAUGUUCAGCUUCAUCUUACCUUGAUCAUGAUGAUUAAUUUUAAUCUGACUUCCUGACUUGUUAACUUAAACUUAGUCACUUAGUCUUACUUAGCCUUAGGCGCCUUAGCCUUAGCUUCUUCAUAUGUGAAUCAUGAAUGGAAGUGCUUGGCUCACAGUGUCACAGAUCGUUCUUUAAACUAUUUGAAGAUCUACUUUAUCUUUACUAACGACUCUAAUCUAUAUCUAGUUUAUAUCUAUAUUUUAUAUGAUAAUAAUAGACCUAGACUCUUAUACUUAUAAUAAAGACAAAGUUAUAAGAUCUAGAAUCUGUAUCUAGAUCUAUUCCCAUUUGUGAUUUAUACACUGAUUAUACACUACAGAUUUAAUGUUUCUGAUGAGCAAUACUACUAUCUACAGCCAUGCCCAUUAACAUAGGCCCUACUCAUGUACUAGAUCUAGCUCUUUUGAUCACAACUCAUAUCUUGCCUAGAUAUAAACAACUGUACUAGAUUGGACUAGACAUUCUAAUCGGUUCUAUUUUCGUUUUUCAUUAUUCUCACAUAUUCUAGUAGGCAAUAGGUACCAAAUUGUGCUAUUUAUUCACUGUAGAUCUAGAUCUUAACUUUUCUCUUAACUUUCAAAGAAGUACACAAAGGAUGUUGAAAGGUACCCAAAGGGCUCUAAUUGCUACCAUUCAAUGUGUGGAAUCAAGUAUUUACCCAGAUACUGCCACAAUAUGCUCUAUUGUUUUCAAAGGAGUUUUCACACAGUGCCAGAAGCUGUAUAAUUGCAUUUAACAAUGUAUAUUUCAAGAAGAAAUGAUGCUUUCUUAUUUCUAAGAGUUUAUCAAUAGGAUGAAUGCCACAAAACUCACUUGUUAUGCCAGAAACUCUUCCUACGAAACUUCCAUACUAGAAUUUGUCCAGUGCCUGUGAUCCUCUGAGUUGAAGGAGAAUGUGCUCCAUAAUACCUACUAGGAGCUUGCUGAUAGCUGGAAGUUCAUGAAUACUAUGUUGUCUUUGAUUUGAUGAUUCUGAAAACUACCAUUUCUGAAGACUUGAGCAUUAUUUCUAUAAGUUAAAAAAAUCUUUUCAGGAAAUAUUGUGUUUAUAAUAUUAAGAAAGUGAAGAUAAUAUUGUUCUUACUAAUAUUAUUGACUUAUUAUCUCAUUAGCUACUAAUGCGCCCAAUUGCGCCCUUCCCCCCUCAGUACUAAUGCGCCCAAAUGCACCCGCCACAGCACACAUACAGCGUGACUUGCGUAGCUCUCGUUUUCCUGCGCGACGCGUGGUGUGAUUUUGAGCUGGCUGGGUUUUUUAAAAAGUAGAAAUAUAGAUCGUUUCGUUAAAAAAAACCGGAUGUUUUUACGUCUUUCGCUUCAGUUUCUAUGGGCCUUUGAAGUUUGUUGAUUUUUUUUUUCGAUUUUUCUUAGCUGCACAGACCAUUUUCUCAAUGACCUUUCAAUUUUUAGACCCGUUAUCGCAAAUAAUACACUAAAUACAGCUAAUAAUGAACUUGAUAUUGAUCAAGACAUUGAUCAUUAGAAUUUAGCGCUACAUUUAGACUUAGAUCUAGUCCGAUUCAGAGAGAGAGUGAAGGAAACAUUAGAUCGAUCAUCUAACCUAGAUCUAGACUAUUCUGGAUCUAGCGUCAAUGAAUCUUCAACAUCUUUGACUGAUAUUUUGAACAGUUUUUAUUUACCACAUGAAAACUUUAGAUGAAAUAGAUCUAGUUGGGGGUGUUCACAACGUUGGUUUGGACAAUGGUUUGAUUACUUUUGCUUUGUUAUGCUAGAAGUCAUGAAAUCUGAGACACAUGCAAAACCACAUCAGCAUGAUGCCGUGUUCAGGCAACUAAGGGCCUCACGCGUACCCAGUGAAAGUCAGUAAAUACUCAAGACAUAUACAGAUUUUAUAUAUAAGCAUAAUGUUUAUUGUAUAGGCCUACUAAAUUCCUACUUAAAAACAUUACUGGUCUUUGGGUAAAAUUUAAAUAUUACCAAAAAUUACAUCUGAUUGGGGGGGGGGGGGGGGUCCACCAAAUUUAAAAAAUCAGGCACUCGAACAAAUUUUCGUCUUUGCCUGUUAUUUUUAUUGUUUUAAUCUUGUAAAACCUAUUCAAGUUAUACAUCAUUUUAAAGGUCAUCCAUUUCUCUUUUUUUAGAAGUAUUUUUUGUUAUUGAUAGAUGUUGUUUUAUGUUAUUUAAAAUAUAUUUUGUAAAGUCAGUCUAUUGAUGUUUUGGAGUUACCUCCCUUUGCUUAGUAUUUAGAGAGAUGCUGCUUAGGUAUGGGCUUAGUAGCUAAUGAGUUAAAAUAGAAAGCACAUCAUUACCAAUAUUCACUUGUCAAUAAAUGUUAGCAUUAUUCAAUUUUUAGUUACAUGUUCAAACUAUUAAAUUUUAUUAUUUAAAUUAUAGCAACUUUCUCUUUCAGUCCAGCUUAAGAUACAUUCCUGUAAAAAGUCUAUGAUAAUAAGUUAAUGUCGAUGUAGUAUUGUUCAGACACUUACAAGUUUAAUCAUCUAUACUUCACAAAAAAAAAAGUGUUUGAAUGGUUUUCAUUUGUUUGUACAUCAAAUAUGUAUUAAUAUAAUUAUCAUUUUUAGAUGAAACAUUAAAUACUGAAGAUGACCAUUUCAAUUUCUGAUGUAGGCCUAUUCUCAUUUCAUGAAAUAAACAGAAUAUUAUCUGAAA